Long non-coding RNA from Mauremys reevesii (Reeves's turtle), 240 nucleotides. RefSeq lists it as uncharacterized. The record is from RefSeq and is a predicted model, not a curated record. NCBI's taxonomy places the organism in Eukaryota, Metazoa, Chordata, Testudines, Geoemydidae. The transcript is spliced from 3 exons.
UUACAAUCGGAGUACCAUCAGAGGAGGAUGGAUUACGUGAAAUCAACGCUAGAUUCUUGGAUGAAGGCGCCAUCGAGGGCCAGACCCCAUCUCCGCAGUAAAUUUGCUGCAUCCCUCUGGCCCCUCACUGCCUUCUUUAUGCCCAGUGAAGGCGCCUUAUAUGCCACAAAGGCAUAUCAAGCCUCAUUCAGCAGGAUGAGUGCUCCCUCCUGGGCCUCUUUAAGAAAUGACCUUCCUUUU